This is a long non-coding RNA of Hordeum vulgare subsp. vulgare (domesticated barley), 671 nucleotides long. RefSeq lists it as uncharacterized. The record is from RefSeq and is a predicted model, not a curated record. Lineage: Eukaryota; Viridiplantae; Streptophyta; Magnoliopsida; Poales; Poaceae. The transcript has 3 exons.
GAUGCUUUGCAGAUUUUGUCUUCUCUAGAUUGAAUACUGCUAGCGACAAUAUCAUCCAGGAUAGCACGUGUAAACCUUCGCCCAGAGCAAAAGGAGUUGCAGUCUUCAAUCUCUGCCUGCACGAUCUGAUUCGCUUGAACAGAAACUGAGCCACGAUACUCGUGAUAAAUACCAGCUGUAUCAAUACAAAAGUGCUCGUCCAAAAACAAGGAUCAUGCUAAGGCUAGGAGAGCCCCCCUCAAAAACACAUGAAUUCCUAUGCUUCCGUAUCUAGCUCUGGAGAGGGUACGGUGGUAGAUGGUGGAGGCGGCCUCUGCGUCGGACCAGUUUGGGAUCCAGUCUGAGUGGUGGCUGGACUGGAGCAUCAGACUAUAGAUGUUAUGAUUUGAUGCGAUAUCUGUUUGGUAUUUGGCCCGGAUAUUCAGCACACCUUUAUCAAGGAAUAGGAGUAGCAACAUGUGUUGCCUAGAUGGUGGCUUCAGACUAACUGAUGUAUUACUUUGUAUGGUUUUUAUAAAUAAUUAAUAAAAUGGCUGUAUGCAUCGUCUAGAUGCAGAAGCCGGGGGUAUAUCCUCCUUUUCUAAAAAAAAAAAAACCAACACAACCAAAGUGCCAAAACUCUUGCCAUAUUGUCUAUCAACUUGACACUUUGCUUAGCGCCUUGCUUCCGU